Molecule: long non-coding RNA, 214 nt
Filed under: Oryzias javanicus (javanese ricefish)
Lineage: Eukaryota; Metazoa; Chordata; Actinopteri; Beloniformes; Adrianichthyidae
Description: lncRNA (ENSOJAG00000020871.1)
Source: RNAcentral
UGAAAACCCGGCGGGUUUUUGAGAAAAACAAGCGGGACAACUCUUCUGCUGUGUUGGCUGCAGCGGGCAGGAAGACUGUCUGAACACAUGACACAGAAUUCCUCCGGAUUUUCCUGCUCCUCUGUUGUCGGGUUCGACGUCUCACUCAGAUUCCGUCAGCAUUGAGGUCAGGUAGAUGUACAACACUGGAGGCUUGGAUAAAAGUCCACAUGAA